AGCAGCCGCGGUAAUUCCAGCUCCAAUAGCGUAUAUUAAAGUUGUUGCAGUUAAAAAGCUCGUAGUUGAAUUUCGGGGUUAGUAGGUUGGUCAUGCCUCUGGUAUGUACUGGUCUCACUGAUUCCUCCUUCCUGAUGAACCGUAAUGCCAUUAAUUUGGUGUUGCGGGGAAUUUGGACUGUUACUUUGAAAAAUUAGAGUGUUUAAAGCAAGCUAACGCUUGAAUACAUUAGCAUGGAAUAAUGAAAUAGGACGUUCGAUCCUAUUUUGUUGGUUUCUAGGAUUGACGUAAUGAUUAAUAGGGAUAGUUGGGGGCAUUAGUAUUCAAUUGUCAGAGGUGAAAUUCUUGGAUUUAUUGAAGACUAACUACUGCGAAAGCAUUUGCCAAGGAUGUUUUCAUUAAUCAAGAACGAAAGUUAGGGGAUCGAAGACGAUCAGAUACCGUCGUAGUCUUAACCAUAAACU
This 464-nucleotide ribosomal RNA is filed under the name uncultured Glomus. RNAcentral describes it as "SSU rRNA". It matches the Rfam family "Eukaryotic small subunit ribosomal RNA", at positions 569 to 1038 of the family's 1831-position model. The record is from RNAcentral. Lineage: Eukaryota; Fungi; Glomeromycota; Glomeromycetes; Glomerales; Glomeraceae.